ACUGGCAUCCCGGGGGCGCUUGGCUGGGCCGGCGCGAAGACUGUAUCCUGCCUUCUCAGUGCAAUGCCCGGCACCUAGGCCGAGUUCAUGUGCGGGUUGUCGCGUUUCCAAUACCCCUGACGUUGUCUUCUCAGUGGUCGUUGGGUCUAGAAGUCACUCAGCUGUUUUGGGUCGGAGCCACUCACUGAUUUAGAAGAGGCCCCCAGUGGAGCUCAGAAUGUCCUAGCAUCUGAAGCAGCCCUGUCGUCCAGCUCCUCUGGAGGUGAUAGACUAGGAGAAGCCGCCAGCCAGCAGCAUCACUGGCUGGCUGGGAGUUCCACCUCUCCCUUCCUUAAGACCUCAGUAAAUGGACAGCCACGGAUGGCUCGGGGGAUGGAUGUGAAUCAGUCAGACCAGCUUCCUUCUCCUGGGACGGGGCUCAGUGUUUUCUGACCGGCUUGCAAGGGCCCGAGCUCCAGUUGAUGAAGUCACAUGGUUCCAGGGGCAGCAGCUGUUUCCCUGAAUACGAGGAUGGUGCUUUGAGACCAACCAGAAGUGAACUGUUUGUACAGAUUGAUGCUGCUGAAAUGCAAAGUGGAAACAUGUCAGGGGAAACAUGCACCCUGUCACCCCAGGAGAGAUGGCUUGGUGGUGAAUCAGACCCACAGGACAGUGGGGAACGCCAGGUGGGAGAGAACAGCACAUGCCUGUAUACCCUGCUGUGGAAAGAACCAGAAAAGCUGAAAGAAAACCUGUGAGGCCAGAAGCUGGGAUGUGGGAAGGCUUGAGAAGGGUGCAGGAGGAACCAAACUGGUGUCAUGUGGAGGAGGCCAUGUGGCAGAGAUCCGUGGUGGCCUCUGGUUGCUGAGGGCCUCCGUCCCACAACUGCAAGGAACUAGGUUCUGCCAACACCCAGCAAGCCUGGGAGAGGAUGCCAGACUCCAGGGAGAUCACAGACCUGGCAACACCUUGAUCGUGGCUGUUGAAUCUCUGAGCAGAGGACAGAGCUGAGCCAUGCCUCUUUCCCACAGAAACGGUGAGAUCAUAAAUGGGCAUUGCUUUAUUCUGCUCUGCUGUUUAAACAUUUAUUUUUAUUUUUAAACGUUUUAUUGACAUAUAGUUGAUUUAUUAGAUUGUGAUCAUUUCUGCUGUACAAAAAGAGUGAUUUAAUUAUACAUGUACACACGUCCCUUCCCUUUCAGUUUCUUUUUCCACGUAGAUGACUAUAGAACAUUGGGUAGGAGUCUCUGUGCCAUACAGCAGGUCCCCGUUGGCCUGUCAUUCCAUAUACCUUAGUGGACACACGCUAAUUCCCCAUCCCCAGUCUGUCCCUGCCUCCCCCCACCCUGUCCCUGUUGGUAAACCCUAAGUGUUUCAAACUCUAUGAGUCUGCUUCCGUUCUGCAAAUAAGUUCGAGAAGAUGUGAUACCUAUACACAAUGGAAUAUUGCUCAGCCAUACAAAAGCAUGAAUUAACACCAUUUGCAGCAACAUGGAUGGACCUAGAAAUUGUCAUACCAAGUGAAAUUCGGCAGUGAAAGACAAACAUCUUAUGAUAUCACUUAUAUGUGGAAUCUAAAAAAAGGACACAAAUGAAUUUACUCGGCUCUGUUGGUGGUCAUUUGUUUUGCAGCAAUAGACCGUUUACAUGGUCAGGGGCACUUUGCUGGUCAUUACUGUCCCCAUACCAGGCACAGGGCCUGUUGCAAGCAGAUAUUCGAUACAGGAUGUGUGUAGAAUGAGUAAGUGGAUGAAUGGAUGACAGCCAGCCAGGAACGCAUGGGAGCACUGCCCAACCAUGGGGUGUCGUGUGUGUCCUAGCCAGCUGUGGGGUCCCAGCUGCCUGCGAGCUCGGGGAGAGAGACCCUGGGGUGGGAUUCCUAAUAGAUACGGAUGUAACCGGAAGUCGCAUUUGGGUCCUGAAUGAGGGCCUGCAGCAGGCGUGACUUUCUCUGCGUUGGGAUUUAAAAGAUGCUCUGCUUCCCAAGCAUAUCACAAGAGGACCCCCCAGACGGACUUAGGGCUCUAGAGUUCCCUGAGCCCUAAGUGGUGGUGAAGGGCACUUUUGGACUCAAGGCUGUGGGGCUUGGGGGUGGGGGCGGGCCCCAGUGGCGCUGGAGUUGUUGGGCAGGGCUUGGCCUGCUGGCGGGAGCCCUGAGGAUGGGCAGUGGGUACCAAGCUUGAUUUUGCCAAGAGCUGGGGAAAAUCUUCUGGUGGUUCCCCGUUGCCCUGGAAUAAAACCCGACCCCUUCCACAUAUGUGUCAGGCCCAACCUGCUCUGGCCUGGCCUUUGGUUCUGGCCUCAGCUUGUGUCACUGGCCCCUUCUCUCACUCAGCACUGGGAUGCUGGCCAUCUCUCCGUCCCCUGGCCUGUCACGCACCAACCUGCCUGGCUCUUCCUUCUGCCUGGGUGCUUCCUUCCAGCUCUUCUGCCCCUUGUCCCUCACCUCCCCAGAGGUGUCUUCUGGGCUUCUUAGGUCUGGAGAGAUCCCAGCAUACUUCCCCACCCCCUGGUCACUCUGUCACAUCACCUGCUUUGUCCCUGCAUGGCACUUAUCACCAACUGAAGGGACAGGCUUACUCACAUACACUCUUGCUUAUUGCCUGUCACAGAUGCCAGAACUUGAGCUGUGAGCUUGUUUGCUCACUGCUGUAUCUCC
This 2638-nucleotide long non-coding RNA is filed under the name Sus scrofa (pig). Its description in RNAcentral is "lncRNA (ENSSSCG00000055222.1)". Lineage: Eukaryota; Metazoa; Chordata; Mammalia; Artiodactyla; Suidae. The record is from RNAcentral.